AGGAUAAACGCUGGCGGCGUGCCUAACACAUGCAAGUCGAACGCGCUUUCGGGCUUCGGUGCGAGAGCGAGUGGCGGACGGGUGAGUAACACAUGGGUACCUACCUUGGAGUGAGGGAUACCGGCGAGAAAUCGCCGACAAUACCGCAUAGGCUUCUUCACAAGGGAAGCAAAGUGACGCGAGUCACGCUUUGAGAUGGGCCUGUGGCCGAUUAGCUAGUUGGGGGGGUAACGGCUUCCCAAGGCGACGAUCGGUAGCUGGUCUGAGAGGACGAUCAGCCACACUGGGAUUGAGAACGGCCCAGACUCCUACGGGGGGCAGCAGUGAGGAAUUUUCCGCAAUGGAGGCAACUCUGACGGAGCAACGCCGCGUGCAGGAGGAAGGUUUUCGGAUCGUAAACUGCUUUUCUCGGGGACGAGCAAGGACGGUACCCGAGGAAUCAGCCCCGGCUAACUACGUGCCAGCAGCCGC
This 471-nucleotide ribosomal RNA is filed under the name uncultured bacterium. Its description in RNAcentral is "SSU rRNA". It matches the Rfam family "Bacterial small subunit ribosomal RNA", at positions 26 to 518 of the family's 1533-position model. The record is from RNAcentral.